GGAGGGGUGGCCGAGUGGUCGAAGGCGACGGUUUGCUAAACCGUUAUAGGGUGUAAAGCCCUAUCGAGGGUUCGAAUCCCUCUCCCUCCGCCA
RNAcentral lists this transfer RNA (93 nucleotides) under Alphaproteobacteria bacterium. Its description in RNAcentral is "tRNA-Ser". It matches the Rfam family "tRNA". From Rfam's summary of the family: Transfer RNA (tRNA) molecules are approximately 80 nucleotides in length. Their secondary structure includes four short double-helical elements and three loops (D, anti-codon, and T loops). RNAcentral also lists the same sequence under 1 other name. The record is from RNAcentral. Lineage: Bacteria; Pseudomonadati; Pseudomonadota; Alphaproteobacteria.